Molecule: non-coding RNA, 526 nt
Organism: Cucurbita pepo subsp. pepo (vegetable marrow)
Lineage: Eukaryota; Viridiplantae; Streptophyta; Magnoliopsida; Cucurbitales; Cucurbitaceae
Source: RefSeq, a predicted model, not a curated record
UAUCAACGAAGAGAUGAAGUUCAGCUAACCCAUUACAGAAAUGAAUCGUUGAAAAGAAGCAAAGAAUCAUGGAGAACGAAUCAGAAUUUUGCACAGUGCGAAGGCAGACCAGUCUCAUGGUUCACCGCUACAAUCUCAGAAACUUCACAUUUCAGCACAUCUUGCCCUAGCUUGGCUCCGGCGGACUUGAGUCCCUUCAGCGACACCGGUUGAUUGAAGAGGUUCAGCGAUGGAAGUUUCGAAGCCGCCGGUAAUUUCCCAUUCGAUUUUGAAGAACAUAUGCGUUUCUCUUUGGGACAACAAGGGUGAGGAUUUGAUCUUUUGACUUUAAAAGAGAAGUACGUAUCAAUUACCGUUGAAUUAUGCUUUACUUUGGUAAAAACGAUACGUGUUUGAGUACUUAUUUUAGGUUUUGAACCUUGGAUCUCGAGGGAAGAAGGCUCUUAAAGGUUCAAUUUUAUCUUUUGUAUGUUAAGUUCUUAGUUUAAAUCUAAUUCUCGAGAGCACUAAAUACAUUUUUUUCGAA